This 1325-nucleotide long non-coding RNA is filed under the name Papio anubis (olive baboon). RNAcentral describes it as "lncRNA (ENSPANG00000043451.1)". The record is from RNAcentral. Lineage: Eukaryota; Metazoa; Chordata; Mammalia; Primates; Cercopithecidae.
CUUUUAAAAAUAAUUUUAAAAUUAUUUUUUCCAGAAUUAUAUUUUCAGAAUUUUGAUCUUACAGGAUUUCAACACAUGGGAUGAUGGCUUUCAGGAUUGCGUCUUUCAGGAUUAUAAUCAGCUCCCAUGCUGGAGAAAACACCAGUAUCUGGAUGACUGGAAAAGUCAUGGAAUGUGCUCAUGAUCCUAUCCUGGGGCAAGGAAGAAUUAGACCGUGGAGUGAUUUGAAGAGGCCAUGGAAGAAAAAAUAUAAAGUUAUUUUGUGUUUAUAAGCCCAGCUAAGUCCAGCUCAUUCAAUGAAAUGAUUAUAAGCAUUUAUGGAAAGCAGAAAGGGAGGGUUCCUCCUGCCAGGAACCCGCCUCUAGCCACAGAGGAUAACGAUCACUGAGGAUAAGGGUUUUCCCAGUGAAGAGCUUUGGAAAUGUUUCACUUGACUAGAAAUGAUCCUGACCCCAAGGUUCUGGCCCACCAGAGAAUAGUGGGAACAAUAGUUUAUCUCCUUGAGUAAUGAGAAGGAUUCCAGUUCUCAGGUGAGCUGCGCCUCUUGCCAGGUAGUCCAGAGCCUUUUAAGUCUAAAGCCCACAUCAGUGUUUUCAAAAGUGUUUCCACAAAGCAUGACAUCCACGGAUUAUGAAUAGGCAUUACCAAGGAAAACAGGGUUCCAUGGUUUAAAAGUUUGAAAAAUGUGGGCUGGGAAUGAUGGUUCAUGCCUGUAAUCCUAGCACUUUAGGAAGCCAACACAGGAGGAUCACUUGAGCCAAGGAGUUCAAGACCAGCCUGGGCAACAUAGUUAGACCUUGUCUCUUUAAAAGAAAAAAAAAAUUAAGUUUGAAAAGUGCUGUUAAAUAAAACUAAACAGUUAUCUUUCCUGCAGGACUUGUCAGAGCCUUAGAAUGCUAAGGUAUGUUGGUCAUGCUUCUAUAAGCAUUGUUCAUUUCCUGCAGCUCGUUUUGCUACAGAACACUUUAGUUUGUUCCUAGGAAUGCUCUGGAGUGGUUGGAAGUGCACUUCACUCCCCUGUGCAAUGCCCUCCUCCUGCUUCUGUCAGCAUCAGCGACUACAGCCUUUAGCAUUUUCAGGUGUAUUUCAGAAAUCAUUCCCUGUGAUCUCUGACUCCAGGGAAGGUUGUCGAGUUAUUUGAGUGCUCCUCUUGAAUGCCAGUUCUACUUAGCUUCAGAUAAAGAAGAAAACCCUCUUUGCCUUCUCCUCUGGAGAGGGUAUUGGAAGUUUAUUAUACAUUGAAAAUGUCUCCAAGGUAUCUCACUUCCCCCAGCCUCUUCUACCGUAACUCUUUUGCAAUCUUCUACCAUAACUAGUGGACUAAU